RNAcentral lists this ribosomal RNA (629 nucleotides) under uncultured Actinomycetes bacterium. RNAcentral's name for it is "bacterial SSU rRNA". It matches the Rfam family "Bacterial small subunit ribosomal RNA", at positions 28 to 644 of the family's 1533-position model. The record is from RNAcentral. Lineage: Bacteria; Bacillati; Actinomycetota; Actinomycetes.
GACGAACGCUGGCGGCGUGCUUAACACAUGCAAGUGGAGCGACGAACCGGGGCUGCCCCGGGGCAGAGCCGCGAACGGGUGAGUAACACGUGGGUAACCCACCCCGAUGAUUGGGACAACCCGAGGAAACUCGGGCUAAUACCAAAUGUGCCCGAGCUUCGUAAGAAGCUCGUGUAAAGGUAGCUUCGGCUUCCGCAUCGGGACGGGCCCGCGGCCCAUUAGCUUGUUGGUGGGGUAAUGGCCUACCAAGGCGACGAUGGGUAGCUGGUCUGAGAGGACGAUCAGCCACACUGGGACUGAGACACGGCCCAGACUCCUACGGGAGGCAGCAGUGGGGAAUCUUGCGCAAUGCGCGAAAGCGUGACGCAGCAACGCCGCGUGGGGGAAGAAGGCUUUCGGGUUGUAAACCCCUUUCAGUUGGGACGAAGCUUCGUCGGUUAAUAGCCGGCCGGAGUGACGGUACCUUCAGAAGAAGCCCCGGCUAACUACGUGCCAGCAGCCGCGGUAAUACGUAGGGGGCAAGCGUUGUCCGGAAUCAUUGGGCGUAAAGCGCGUGUAGGCGGCUCGGUAAGUCCGCUCUGAAAGUCGGGGGCUCAACCCUCGGAUGCGGGUGGAUACUGCCGGGCUUG